This 465-nucleotide ribosomal RNA is filed under the name uncultured bacterium. Its description in RNAcentral is "partial 16S ribosomal RNA". It matches the Rfam family "Bacterial small subunit ribosomal RNA", at positions 28 to 507 of the family's 1533-position model. The record is from RNAcentral.
GACGAACGCUGGCGGCGUGCUUAACACAUGCAAGUCGAACGGAAAGGCCCUGCUUGCAGGGUACUCGAGUGGCGAACGGGUGAGUAACACGUGGGUGAUCUGCCCUGCACUUCGGGAUAAGCCUGGGAAACUGGGUCUAAUACCGGAUAGGAGCCAUUUUUAGUGUGAUGGUUGGAAAGUUUUUUCGGUGUAGGAUGAGCUCGCGGCCUAUCAGCUUGUUGGUGGGGUAAUGGCCUACCAAGGCGGCGACGGGUAGCCGGCCUGAGAGGGUGGACGGCCACAUUGGGACUGAGAGACGGCCCAGACUCCUACGGGAGGCAGCAGGGGGGAAUAUUGCACAAUGGGCGCAAGCCUGAUGCAGCGACGCCGCGUGGGGGAUGACGGCCUUCGGGUUGUAAACUCCUUUCGCUAGGGACGAAGCUUUUUGUGACGGUACCUAGAUAAGAAGCACCGGCUAACUACGUG